CCCAGGUGCAGCUGGUGCAGUCUGGCCAUGAGGUGAAGCAGCCUGGGGCCUCAGUGAAGGUCUCCUGCAAGGCUUCUGGUUACACUUGAACCAGGAAACUUACAAUUAUGGUGGAAGGUGAAGGGGAAGCAAGUCCCUUCUUCACAAGGCAGCAGGAUGGAGAGAGAGAGAGAGAGAGAGAGAGAGAGAGAGAGAGAGAGAGAGAGAGAGAGAGAGAAGGAGCUACUCGGGAGGCCGGGAUUACAUGUAUGGCAGUGUGGGAGGGUGAGGUGGGUGGAUCACCUGAGGUCGGGAAUUCGAGACCAGCCUGACCAACAUGGAGAAACCCCCUCUCUACUAAAAAUACAAAAUUAGCUGGGCGUGGCGGGGAAGCUGAGGCAGGAGAAUCGCUUGAACCUGGGAGGCGGAGGCUCCAGUUCCAGCCCUUUGGGAGGCCGAGGCGGGCAGAUCACCUGAGGUCUGGAGUUCCAC
This 471-nucleotide long non-coding RNA is filed under the name Homo sapiens (human). RNAcentral describes it as "non-protein coding lnc-BRF1-42:6". Lineage: Eukaryota; Metazoa; Chordata; Mammalia; Primates; Hominidae. The record is from RNAcentral.